UUUUUUUUGGUAAGGCAUGGGUCAUUUUGCUAGUAUAUAAGAAGAUAAACAAUACCUCCGAAUUUCUAGCGAUCCCCAAAUUUAUAGCUUUCCUACUGAAGUGCAGCCAGUGUGGCUAUCCUGCCACAGUAUCUCGUCCAUCUCCUCUCUGAACCGGGCCACCGCCUCCUCCGGCAGCGCGACGAACACCUUGAACCCUCGCCGCCGCCUCUCGUCCCCGGCGCCGUACGGCAGCAGGAAGCACGGCUGCGUGCUCCCGAGCAGCCGCCACGAUAGCGGGAGCACGGCGUCGGGCCCGCCCCACCCGAAGUCCACCUCCGAGUGCCCCAGCCUCCGCCAGUCCGUGAACGCGCUCACGCCGCGCCGCCCCGCCGUGAUGCCGCCCUCCCCGCGCCGCAGCUCCUGGAGGUCGACGUAGGACCGCACGUACUCCUCGUCCACCUCCCGCUUGCUCUUCCUGACCAGUGACGCCGUCUCCGCCAGCGGCCGCCCGGCGAGGUCGCUCGCGGCCAGCGCCACGUACACCGGCACGCACACGUUGCCCCAGUACCCCUCCGGCAGCGGCGGGUCGAGGAGACCGCUGAUGUUCAUGGAGUACACCAUCUUCACCGUCUCGUCGGGGGCAGUUUGGUUGGCCUUCACCUUGGCGCGCCAGAUGAAGGCGGCGAGAACCUCGAAGGUCGUGAACUUGACGCCGGCGUCGGCGGCGAGCCGCGCCCUCAGCGCCUCCACGCGCGCGUCGCUGACGUGGAAGCACUCCCUCGCCAGCCGCUCGUGCCCUUCUCCGUCGCUCGCCGCGCCGUACGGGCCAAGCCGCGGGAUGUCGUCGUCGGUCGCGAGCACGGCGUCGAACGGCGUCACCACCCGCGGCGGGUUCCUGGGGCCCAGGAGCUCCCGCCUGUCCCACACCGGCUCCGCCGCGGCCUCCGGCUCCAUCUUCACCGNNNNNNNNNNNNNNNNNNNNNNNNNNNNNNNNNNNNNNNNNNNNNNNNNNNNNNNNNNNNNNNNNNNNNNNNNNNNNNNNNNNNNNNNNNNNNNNNNNNNCGGUGAGCGCACGAGGAGGGAGGGCCGGUACGGCCACGGCGGCCGGCGAGUGGCGGGUCGGCGUCAUGGCGGAAGGGCUUUGGAGGAGGGUGAUCGGUGGUGGGAUGCGUGCUCUGAUGGGUUCUCGGAAGGUACUACGUAUAUUAUACGUAUGGGUUCUCGGAAGGUACUACGUAUAUUAUAUUAUACGUAUAUUAUACGUGCAUGAUGCGUAAGGAAUGUCGGAGCCGGCACGGAAAUACGUAGAAAAUCUUCUCGUGUGGGCGACUGUAAUUUAUCUCCGGCAGUUUUCUGCUGUUUUCUUCUGGGGAAGCAGAAGUGAUUAACCACGUCAUUUUCUGCUUCGUUUUGGAAAGUAGAGAUUAAAGUACUGUUCGGUUUCUCUCCACUCCGUCCACUUCACUCCCGGAGCGAAGCAGCCUAUAGCUCAUUUUGACAGAGCAGUUUACACCUAACUCCACAACUCUACGGAGUGAAGAGAUUCCGAACAGGCCUUGAGUUUCAUAAUUUUCUGCUUUGUUUGGGAGAGCAAAGAUUAAUAACGUGAUUUUCUGCUUCGUUUUCGGAAGCAAAUAUAUAUUAAUCACGUCAUAAUUUACGGCAUAUAAUAGCCGUCCAACCUCGCACCCGCUCCAACUUUCCUGUUCAUCUUCUCCCAAAAAAAAAAACCCUUUCCAGUUCAUCUCCCUGAAAAAAAAUCCAGUUUUUUAGGAGAAAUCUUAUGUUUAUUCAUAAAAAUAGCAACAUACAACAUAUAUGGCUUUUCUCUGAAACAAUCCGAAGAGACAGCAUACAAGAAAAUUUACAUAACCAUCGCUAAAGAAUCUAACCGUUGCCGACGUCGAAGCGUUCAUCGGAGGAGAGAAACAUAGGCCUCCAACUUCCAACUCAAGGCUAUCCGGUUCAUAGACAGAAGCUUCUGAAUUUAUUCACAAAACGGAAUCUUCCUACGACGACUCCAAAAGCAUGGAUUUUCAAUUAUAGUCAAUACACUUUAUGCUACUCUAAAAAGAGCAAUCAACUACAAAAAUAAAAAGAAAAAUUUGUGGAUUUAUUCAACUAUUUUCUUCGUGUCAAAAUAAAUAUAUAAAUUUAGUAUCAAGUUACUACAAAUUUAAUACUAAAAUAACAACACUUAUUUUAGGACGGAGUGAGUAAAUCCAAACCGUCCAACCAACUUGUGAGUUCAAGCUGCAACUUUCUAUAGAAAGGAAAAUAUAACUAAAUACUCCUGCUAGAGUAGAUCCCAUGUCCCCUACUUCCGAGUUUUCAAGGAGCCGAACUAGCUCACGAGAUCUCAUCUGGCCUUCCCACGUGGCUCCCGUGGGCGAUGGGGAGGGCACUUCAUCUGCCACUAUACCUGGCCAUGGGAAACCCGGCCCGACCUGACCUUGCCCACGGGUCGGGCUCGGGCCUUGAUUUUGAGGCCGUCGGGCUUAUAGGGUCGGGCUCGGGCCUGAAAAAACCCGACUUUACGCUUACGUCAGGUCGGGUUUAUCAUGCUGGGACGGACUUCUUCGGGCUCGGACCGGGCUUGGUCCAAAAACUAGGCCCGAUGGUCGGGCCAGGUCGGGCUCGGGCCUGAGUUUUGUACCAUUGGCUUUUUUAGGUCCGGUCCGAGGCCCGGCCCAGCCCAGCCCGAGUUUAGCCCAGGUAUGGCUGCCACCUCCAGCAGCCUGCUCUCCCUCCCUCCUCCGUCGCUACCGCCUAAGGACGCGGCCAGGCAAAGUCUGCCCGACGUUGGCGGCGGCAGGGCGUUUCGCCUUUGCGCCACGGCUGGGCCGAAACACCGCGAUGGCGAGGGUAGCGGUGGUGUGGCGGAUCCCUAUGGCUGAGUUUUUCGGGAUCGACGCCGCAUGGCAGGCUUCAAGUUGGCGGAUCGUGCAGGCGAGAGGAUGGCGACGGAUCCGGAUCUGUCAUGAUCUGGCGUCCAUCUUCAAUCGGACGGGCUAUGGGCAACGUGGGCAAGUGUCCUCGCGAUGGCAGCGAUGGCGUCGACGUGGUGGAGGCAGCGGUGUGGUGGCAGUCCUAGUGCUCUGUCGCAUUCAUUGCAGCAAUCUGCAUGAUCUGUCCUCCUAGAUCUGGCCGUCGACGUGUUCCGAAACUACUGUCGUAGAUCUUGCCCUAGGAUCUCUGGAUCAAAUAGAAUCUGGUCGUGCGCAUCCAUAUUAGCUUGCGCGGCUCCAUGAGAGCGGACGCGAAGCUCUGUUUGUUUCUUGACACCAUGAAACAUAUCAGUCUCUGGAUUUUCAUGACAUGGACAGCGGUGGAGAAAGUCCAAGUGGCUGGGAUCGGAGGAUCAAUAAGACGAAGGGAUGCUUGAAAACGAUGGGGUCAGACAGGUGUUUGAUAGAAGCAGCAGUGAUAAGUGGGAGCGAGAACACUGGAGGAUUUCGUUUUUGGGAUGCCACUCGGGUGCCGAGUCGUGACUUUCAUGGUGAAAGUCUGAGGUCUGGCCUUCAUUGGUUGUGCAUGGCAAGUGUCUUGCUGAAGGUAUUGUUUUGAGAGCUCGAACUUUCUUUAUGGUGAGAACAUAAGAUCUUGGAUCGGGCGACGACGACGUUUCUUCAAUGUUUCCUUCUUGAAGAUGGCGUUUUUGCAGACCAUUUUAUGUUUUUCGGGUGUUGUCUUUGGUAGUGGUUUAUGUGCUGCUGCUGAAAGGAGUUGCUCACUGUGAUGAUGUCUUUCUUUUUUCUUUUCUUUUCAGACUGUGUAUAUCCUAGAUGUCUUUGAGAUAACUUGUUGAUGCAGAGAUUUGAGUGCAAUUGAUAUCUUCAUGAUAUUAAUGUAUUCCCCUUUCCAAAAUGUACCCUACUUCCUCGUUCAUUGUUGGCCAACCGACUGCUCGAGUAGAAGUGUGCGGUGGAACCCAUCACCCUGACAGUUGCGGGUCAAGCCGUGGUGAAGUACUGACUUACUUCAAGAAGUACGCCGGGGCAAGUGGAAGUAGGCAGACACAAACUCGCACGCUUUCUUCAAGAAGUACGCCGACGGUUGCAAUGGCGCGGAGUUACACUCAGGUGGCGGCAGGGGAUUCCUUACCCGACGAUCGACUGUCGAGGCUCGAGACAAUAUAAGGCAAGGCGGCGCUCAGUGUGCAGUUCAUGUGUGCUGUGGUGCUCUAGUGAUGGAGCCAUGGAGGCAACAUUGCCCAAAAUAAAAGCUUCCCUGCUCUGCACUUGUCUCAGGCCUUGUAUAAUGCUAGAUGUUUAAGGAGGUGUUUAGAAAAAUAAACUGGAUUUUUCUGAAGCAUGGUGCUUAUUUCUACGGAAGAGACGCCUAACUAAACGUCUAUCCUGGAUAAAUAAAUACCGAUGUUUAAAAAACCUGAUUUAUUUCUCUAAACAUUUUCCCUAAGCAUCUUGCAUUGUACAAGGCCUUCCUGAAUGAUGCUUGAUCCAACGGUUUAUUCCAGACGAAAUCUAGGAGAGCACAAACGUAGAUUGCUGAGGUGCCUUGGUUUGUCUUGCCGUUGGUGCUAGUUCUAUUUUAGUGUAUGAUUUUCCAGUUUUAUCCCAGUGUUCUCUUGGUAUUCUUUUCCAACAGUAUGACGACAAAGCAACGGCUUGAGCAACCUUUGAGGUUUAUUGUAGCUUAUGCAUGUUUAGUCUUUUGUAUGCUUCUUUCUCCAGAUAUUUGGAGGGAAGUCGAGAUGCAAAUGAUGGAGAUGGAGACGACGACUUGGGAGGACUAAACUACAACUUCCAUUUCAUUUGGUUUAGGAAACAUUAAAAUAGACCGGUAGGGAAGGAAAAACUAGGGUGGAAACCAAGCUGAGAUCAAAUAUUCUUCCCUGCAAAGAUAGAUGGCACAUGCUAGGCCCAAAUGAGCACUUCGCGUGGCGUGGCUCAUGGCAGAUGCUGGCCAUUCGAGGGAUGUCAGGUGUGUCCUGGGGCACCGGAAACUAUUACGUACAUCCGGACGGAUUGUCCUUUUUCUGCCACCGUGUUGUAUCAUGUGAAAUGUUGGACAUGCAGAAGCACACUGAGGGCUUUUAUUCAUAUUUUAAUAUUUCAAAAAAUUCUGAAAAAAAAUACAUAGAUGAAAGUAUAAUGCAUAAGUGUUUAAAUUUUUAGAAAUAAAUACUCCCUCCGUUCCUAAANNUAAGUCUUUUAAGAUAUUUUACUAGUAGUCUACAUACGGAGCAAAANNNNNNNNNNNNNNNNNNNNNNNNNNNCUAUAUACAUCCGUAUGUAGUCCAGUAAUGAAACUUUUUUAAAGACUUAUAUUUAGGAACAGAGGGAGUACGUUCAAAUGAGGGCUAUGCAAAAAGACAAAUCUAAGGCAUUUUAACGCAUGAUAGUAUUCAUCCUUCCGGACCAUGAAUUUGUCUUUUUUGUACAGGUUGCGUUCCAAAGUAUUUCGGCCUGAAAUUUCACACACACACACGAAUCACACCCUUGUUUAGUUGUACAGUUUUUUUUAGACUUUUAAAAACCAAAAAUUUCGAAUUUUGUAUUUUUUUCAAAAAUUCCAGCCUCCAUGGAGGCCGGGUGCCAAAACGCCAUUCUCAUGAGCUACCCGCAAUCUAGAAUAAGUACAAAAAUGAGCUAAACCAGACAAGCCAAACUAUGGUGCAAUCAAAAGUUAUUAAGAAUGAACUAACUCGAUUAGCUAGUUUAAUAGAAGAAGAAAUUCUGAACAGAGGAGACCAAAAUUGAUAUGGUCAAGCAGCACUCAGGGAAAACAGAUAAGGGGAAACCAAAAAUAUGACCAUGCCAUUUCCCUUUUAGAAAACCUUGCAAGCAUGGCAGAAUCCUACAUCCUUCGGCACAUGCUACCCCUAGGUAGCUUCAAUACAACUGUACUGGAAAUGUUUUCUUUUAAUAGGAUGGCUCAAUGUUGACCUGGGAUAAAAGACGGCUCAAGGUUGUUCUGAAAAAAGUUGGCUUGGGGUUGUUCUUCAAAAAAAGAUGGGUCAAGGUUGUUCUUCAAAAACAGAAGUUUCAGGCUACCGCCGUUUCAUAUUCAAUUGUCCUAUAUAGAAAGGGUGGUUCAUGCUAAACAAAAUGCAUUUCACUGCAACCCCAAUCCUACGAGAUGACUGCUCUCAAUCUCUAACAUCAACUCGCCAUCAUAUAAUGUUCCCUACUCAGAGUUCAUCCUCGAGUCGCUACACUCUGACUGAAAGCAUGCCUAAUUCAAGAUACAGCCAGCAGUCACUCCAAUCCAAGUUCCCACUUCAUCUCCUUCCAGAUCAAUUUCAUGCAGAGAACCUUACAAGAUUACAUGCGAAGAUGGUAUAGUACUCUGAAACUUAAGAACCGUUGUUCAGUACAAGAGCCAGAUGUCUGAACUUAUUCCCCAAACAGAGUAACAUGGACACACGACCACCGCCAUGCCAUCCUUACGAGUACAAAGUAGCAGGGAUCCAGGAGAAAGCUUACCCUCAGAAAUCGGAGCAGC
RNAcentral lists this long non-coding RNA (6450 nucleotides) under Hordeum vulgare. Its description in RNAcentral is "long non-coding RNA (HVUL_LNC021272)". The record is from RNAcentral. Lineage: Eukaryota; Viridiplantae; Streptophyta; Magnoliopsida; Poales; Poaceae.